Molecule: ribosomal RNA, 575 nt
Filed under: uncultured bacterium
Lineage: Bacteria
Description: partial 16S ribosomal RNA
Rfam family: Bacterial small subunit ribosomal RNA
Source: RNAcentral
UGGGGAAUAUUGGACAAUGGGCGCAAGCCUGAUCCAGCAAUGCCGCGUGUGUGAAGAAGGCCUUCGGGUUGUAAAGCACUUUUAUCCAGGAGCGAAACGCUGUCGGCUAAUACCCGGCGGAACUGACGGUACCUGAGGAAUAAGCACCGGCUAACUUCGUGCCAGCAGCCGCGGUAAUACGAAGGGUGCAAGCGUUAAUCGGAAUUACUGGGCGUAAAGCGUGCGUAGGCGGUUUCUUAAGUCUGCUGUGAAAUCCCCGGGCUCAACCUGGGAAUGGCAGUGGAUACUGGGAGGCUAGAGUGUGUCAGAGGGUGGUGGAAUUCCCGGUGUAGCGGUGAAAUGCGUAGAGAUCGGGAGGAACAUCAGUGGCGAAGGCGGCCACCUGGGACAACACUGACGCUGAGGCACGAAAGCGUGGGGAGCAAACAGGAUUAGAUACCCUGGUAGUCCACGCCCUAAACGAUGCGAACUGGAUGUUGGUCUCAACUCGGAGAUCAGUGUCGAAGCUAACGCGUUAAGUUCGCCGCCUGGGGAGUACGGUCGCAAGACUGAAACUUAAAGGAAUCGACGGGGUC